This is a long non-coding RNA of Pongo pygmaeus (Bornean orangutan), 1262 nucleotides long. RefSeq lists it as uncharacterized. The transcript is spliced from 5 exons. The record is from RefSeq and is a predicted model, not a curated record. Lineage: Eukaryota; Metazoa; Chordata; Mammalia; Primates; Hominidae.
CUUAAAGCCCUAAAUGACGGCUUCAAUAUCAGCCCCAUUAAGCAUGAAAUUCAUUUACUUAAAUAAAAUCUGAAUCUUAGCCCAAACCUGGGAGAUUCAAAACCUGAGAGCAGUCUUACCAAAGACGCCCGUAUGUCUGGUGAAGUCAGUUGGAUGCAAGCAGUUUGUGCUGGUACCGGGGCCCCAGCUACUGAUGAAGUGGCAGGAGUCCACGGAAGCCUACUACAAAGUUCCUGGGGCUUCCAGGGGAGAUUGACGAGAUUCCUGGGGAGGGGAUUCAUGACAGCUGAGUUCCUUUUGGAGGAUCCAUCUUCAGGCAGUCUGAUCCCCCAAGAAAGCAGCUGGAAAACAAGAGCAUGUGAAGGAAGCGCGGCAGCUCCUCGCCAGCCAGACAGCCAGCCCCGCACCGCAGGAAUCGACACGUACGGCAGCCUAGACGCCAUCAGUUAAACUUAUAUGUAGGCUUGUUGAGGAAAACGACUUUCAAACACAAAGCAAAAGAAAAACAUGAAACCAAGGGUUCCAACAUUCAUCACCCAGUUUCAGGGACACCUUUGUAGGAAUGCUACAGCCUCUUCCUUACCCAUUCAAACCAGUCGCUCUGCUGCAUACCCACAUCACAGGAGGCCCUUAGCCCCGACACACAGGCUCACUCAGCCCAGGGACGUCAGCACCUGUGCCAGCUCCACAGGGUAUCCACCAUGUGGCCAGAACUGAGGCCCAGCAAUUGCUGAAAUGUCCUUUAAAUGAACAGGUACAACACGUACAACCCCCAAGAGCUGACAUCCCCAAAGCCCCACCACAAAUAGCUGACUCCUACUUAUACCUGCAGGAGCAGGUGCUGACCUCUGCAAUUCUAAACCGUCCACUUUGGGCAAAAUUCAUCAAGCUAUGGAUAUGAAAAAAGGCCCCCAAGGAUAUGAUUCAUAGUCCAGCGUUUGAGUGAGCACUCCAGUCAGAACGAACUCUGCAUUGUGAACAUCUGAACAGAGUGGAAACAGACACUUGUUAGAGAUCCACUGCUGUGCGUGCGCACAUACUCAACACAGGGCAAUGACGGACUCGCUGGUGGACUCCACUCUACCCACCGAGUUCUGCUUGUGCUCCAUGAGCUUCCGGAAAGAUGGCUGCUUGGAUAACACCUUUCCUCCUGCACACUCUACGAUUGCCUUCAUAGUGGAAAGACUUGGGCAGAUUCCAGGUGUGAUGUAAAAAUAUUUUGCCUAAAAUUAAAUGAAAAUAUAUGUAUUGUGUUCUUAAAA